RNAcentral lists this ribosomal RNA (253 nucleotides) under uncultured bacterium. RNAcentral describes it as "partial 16S ribosomal RNA". It matches the Rfam family "Bacterial small subunit ribosomal RNA", at positions 524 to 776 of the family's 1533-position model. The record is from RNAcentral.
UACAGAGGUCCCGAGCGUUGUUCGGAUUCACUGGGCGUAAAGGGUGCGUAGGUGGUGAGGUAAGUCGGAUGUGAAAUCUCCGGGCUUAACCCGGAAACUGCCAUUGAUACUAUCAGUCUUGAAUACCGUGGAGGUAAGCGGAAUAUGUCAUGUAGCGGUGAAAUGCUUAGAUAUGACAUAGAACACCAAUUGCGAAGGCAGCUUACUACCCGAAUAUUGACACUGAGGCACGAAAGCGUGGGGAUCAAACAGG